This 468-nucleotide ribosomal RNA is filed under the name uncultured bacterium. RNAcentral's name for it is "partial 16S ribosomal RNA". It matches the Rfam family "Bacterial small subunit ribosomal RNA", at positions 28 to 507 of the family's 1533-position model. The record is from RNAcentral.
GACGAACGCUGGCGGCGUGCUUAACACAUGCAAGUCGAACGGAAAGGCCCUGCUUUUGUGGGGUGCUCGAGUGGCGAACGGGUGAGUAACACGUGAGUAACCUGCCCUUGACUUUGGGAUAACUUCAGGAAACUGGGGCUAAUACCGGAUAGGAGCUCCUGCUGCAUGGUGGGGGUUGGUAAGUUUCGGCGGUUGGGGAUGGACUCGCGGCUUAUCAGCUUGUUGGUGGGGUAGUGGCUUACCACGGCUUUGACGGGUAGCCGGCCUGAGAGGGUGACCGGCCACAUUGGGACUGAGAUACGGCCCAGACUGCUACGGGAGGCAGCAGUGGGGAAUAUUGCACAAUGGGCGGAAGCGUGAUGCAGCAACGCCGCGUGCGGGAUGACGGGCUUCGGGUUGUAAACAGCUUUCGACUGUGACGAAGCGUGAGUGACGGUAAUGGGUAAAGAAGCACCGGCUAACUACGUG